This 728-nucleotide long non-coding RNA is filed under the name Cricetulus griseus (Chinese hamster). Its description in RNAcentral is "lncRNA (ENSCGRG00015042651.1)". Lineage: Eukaryota; Metazoa; Chordata; Mammalia; Rodentia; Cricetidae. The record is from RNAcentral.
CAGGCAUCUGACUUUCUAGUGACUAGGACAAGGUCAUGGCAAGCACGUGUUACUGUCAUGGCUGCCGAAAUGGGGAGCUGAUCCCUUCUCCUCUUCAGUGACUUGUUUGGUGAGUUGGCCCCUGAGUGCUUCAUGUCCUUGGUCCUUGCAAAGGUGAACACAGGGACCCUCCUUUUCUGUCUUUUUCUUUGUGUCAGUCUGGUAUCCCUGGUGCAUUAGGUAGGAACAUCUACUACACUUAGGUCCGACACACUUCCUGUUUUUGUUCUAGUCUGUCUUAGAUUUCAUUCAUUCUACAGCUCCUGCCAGUAAGAGAAUGGGGAACUUACCCUCCCAUUGUUAGGAGCCUCAGUGUUUCCUGCAGUGUAUUUCCACACUCCAAGUUCUCAUGGCACUUCAACACCUAGAAUGUGGCCCCCUUGAGGUCUUUUGGGCCUAGCUCACAGAAAUUCCUGAGGCAUCAGUUUAACAGGUGCUCCUCUCACCUUGGCAAGCUUACCAGAGAUGUCAUUCUUCCAGGGCCAGUAGACAAUGACAGGGCUGGCUCCUGACAUGGAGAGAUGGCUCAGCAGUUAAGAGCACUGACUGCUCUUCCAGAGGUCCUGAGUUCAAUUCCCGGCAACCACAUGGUGGCUCACAAUCACCUUGAAUGAGAUCUGGUACCCUCUGCUGGCAUGCAGGCAGAAGACUGUAUACAUAAUAAAUAAAAUCUUUUUAAAAAAAAAAAA